GGCAGAUGAUCUGGUAACAGUGACAAGAACAAAAUCCCACAUACAACUUAAAAAAAAAAUGAAGAGGCCCUGGAACUGGAUUCAACAGAUUGAGAAGAGAAGAGGCAUGGCAUUCUCUGCAGCUAUGGCAUCAUAGCUAUUUUAGGCUGACUACAAUAGAUUUCUCAUAAAAUUCUAUGCAAAUUGCCAGAAUGCUAGUUAUUCCAUCAGUAAGAAUGAGCAUAAGUAAUAAUACUGGUGUAAAUAAUCAUCCUGUAAACGCUUUAUGGCCAAGGAGUUCAACAUGAGGUCAUGCGUUCUGAACAUCUGGUUGAAUGACUGAAUUGUGAAUUAUCAAGGUCUUGUGAAGAAGGCGAGAGCUGCCUGCUAUCUUUAGGAUUCCUGCCUCUUUGUGAAAACGUCCAAAAUAGUCAGUUUGGAUAAAUAGGAAAUUGACCUUCCAGUGCUAAAGGUGAUCUGGAAAUCAGUUUCUUCAGCCCUGUUUAGGAAAGGCAGUCAUGAAGGGAACGGUCCUCAUUGCCAGAGUGCUUGGCAGGUGGUGGUCGAUUGUAAAAUGGACCCACAUUUCUGCCAUCCUUGGAUGCGUACCCUUUUGCAAUAUAACUUUCCCACUUUUCCUGUUGAGAGGUGGAUUUUCUCUCCUGUCCUUUGAAUCUGGUCUUGGCCACAAGAUUUGUUUUCAUCAAUGGAAUAUUAGAAAAUGUGUUAUAAGAAAAUGCUUGAAAGUGCUGGCACAAUGGACCUUUCCUGAUUUUGCUACCCUUGGGAGCUUUGUAACCCCUACUGUGUGAAGAAGCCAGGGCUGGCCUCCUGGAGGAUGAGUGAUGCCUCAGUUGACAGCCGGCACCCACUGACAUCUUUCCCACCUCCAACCAUGGUGGUCCAUCUAUCCCCCAGUCAACACUCAGACUUGUGAGCAAAACCAAAAUGCUUCUUGUUUUAAGCCUCUACGUUUCAGAGUGGUUUGUGAUGCAGUGAAAGCUAACUUAUACAGCACCCUAUGGGCUGAGUGUUUGUGUCCCAAAACUCAUGUUGAAAUCCCAACGCCCAAGGCGAUGGUAGAUAUUAACAGGUGGGGCCUUUGGAAGGGGCUUAUGCCCUGAGGGUGGAGCCCUCAUGAAGGGGUUAGUGCCCUUAUAAAGGAAGCUCCAGAGGGUUUCCUAGCCCCCUCAACCAUGUGAUGACACAACAAGAACUCUGAGACCUGGAAGAGGGUCCUAACCCCACCAUGCUGGUUCCUUGAUCUUAGACUUUCAACUUCCAAUACUGUGAAAAAUACAUUUCUGAUGUUUAUAAGCCACCCAGGCUGUGGUGUUCUGUCACUACAGCCCUGACAGUGGAAGACACAGAGCAUUUUCUCUGUGAAAACACUUGGUACUUUCACUUUUAGGGGAAUGUCAGUUGCUCCCCUUAUGUAAAAUUCUUUGAGGGCUAGAAGAGUUUUUUUUGCUCAUUGUACAGACACAUCUUAUAUUUCUCACCAGGUUAUUAGGUAGCAUAGGUUGAAGAUGCAGCUUAGAUCCAGUGUAAAAAAGAAAACAAAAUGAAUAGUUAAGAAGGUAAAACCAAAGCCUCCCUCCCACUUUUCCUCCACCUGCUGGACCCUGAAUCACUUGCUCUGCUGCCACAGCCCCCAGAGCCUGUAAGCUUUCCUGUGGUGCUGAUGCCUGAGGCCAAGGGCUGCUGGCUUGGACUGUCUCUCCUCUCACCACUUCUGGGCUCUGAUGAGAUGCCAGUGACAUGCCAAUCAGGCUUCACAAGCAGUUGCUGAAGGGGCCAGAAGGAUGAUGCUCCAAGAAGUGCAGAGGGGUUGCCUCCCUUUGAAGCAAACUUUGAACCAUGGAGAGGGAGGCCGGACAGAAGUGAGCAGAUAAGUUCCCCCUUUUCCUUCCCUCUAAUGGGCUUACUGAGGAUGGUUUCUCUGCAAAUCCUGUCUGAAUACUUCCCCUGUCUUCCAGACAUCCAGCAGUGUCUCUUCCAAGGCUUGUCUUGAGCUCUGGCCCACGCAUGCAGUAAUAUACUGUAUGGGAUUGCUUCUAGCCUUCCCUACCUCACACCCCUUUGCCUCCGAUCCCCGGACUAUACCUUCCAAAUAAAGCAUCAACACUUAAUCUUAGAC
Molecule: long non-coding RNA, 2119 nt
Filed under: Sus scrofa (pig)
Lineage: Eukaryota; Metazoa; Chordata; Mammalia; Artiodactyla; Suidae
Description: lncRNA (ENSSSCG00050039249.1)
Source: RNAcentral